This is an RNA transcript of Dipodomys ordii (Ord's kangaroo rat), 838 nucleotides long. It is a transcript of the gene named RNA-binding protein PNO1 pseudogene, with no coding region annotated. Lineage: Eukaryota; Metazoa; Chordata; Mammalia; Rodentia; Heteromyidae. The record is from RefSeq and is a predicted model, not a curated record. The transcript has a single exon.
AGUGGGCCAACAGUAGCUCAAAGAAGUAUUCUAGGCUUGCGCAGAGCGGCUGUGCACAUGUUCCUAUUCUGAUGUUUGCUGGUUGUGGAGAUGGCAGAGAUGGAGACACAGAGUGCCACAAUGGUGGCUGGCGGGCGAAGAAGCGACAGGCUGAUCAGCUGUCCUCCGCGGGCGAGGAUGGAAGUGCUGUGCACGUGGACAUAGAAGAGGGCCGGCAGGCCAAGAGGCUUGUCUUUCCUCCCCUCGCUGGGGAUGGAUUCCUGAGUGGGAAAGAAGAAACAUGGAAAAUUUCAGUCCCAGCUAAUAGAUACACACUCUUAAAAGAAAACUGGAUGAAGAUAUUUACUCCUGUUGUAGAACAUUUGGGGCUUCAGAUAUGCUUUAACUUGAAAUCAAGAAAUGUAGAAAUCAGAACUUGUAAGGAAACCAAGGAUGUUAGUGCUCUGAUAAAAGCAGCUGAUUUUAUGAAGGCCUUUUAUUCUUGGGUUUCAAGUGGAGGAUGCACUUGCCCUCAUCAGGCUGGAUGAUCUCUUUCUAGAGACUUUUAAAAUUACAGAUGUUAAGCCCCUCAAAGGAGACCAUUUGUCAAGGGCAAUAGGAAGAAUCGCUGGCAAAGGAGGAAAAACCAAAUUCACCAUAGAGAACAUGACACGGACACGGGUAGUUUUGGCUGAUGUGAAAGUUCACAUCCUUGGAUCCAAAACAUCAAAAUAGCAAGAACUGGCAUUUGCAAUCUCAUCCUGGGAAAUCCGCCAUCAAAGGUUUAUGGAAAUAUUCGAGCUGUGGCUGGCAGAUCAGCAAAGCGAUUUUUAUUUCAUAUCAGAGACUUUUUAUCUUU